This 215-nucleotide long non-coding RNA is filed under the name Trifolium pratense (red clover). Its description in RNAcentral is "long non-coding RNA (TPRA_LNC001621)". The record is from RNAcentral. Lineage: Eukaryota; Viridiplantae; Streptophyta; Magnoliopsida; Fabales; Fabaceae.
CUGUAUGUAUUGAGGGUGUGCUCGAGUUCUAGAACUUGAAUGUGUAAAGGAAUUCAAGGGGAGCAUGAGAAAAUUAGGGUGUGAACAAAGAAAUUCUAUUAAAAAAAGUUGGGCUUUUUAAGUUGGGCCACAAGUUUUUGUUUUUGCACCCCCUACUCGACUUGUAACAAAGGAAAAGAAAAUGUGGGAAAUAUCUCUUGGCAGCAUAAGAAAAC